Mobula hypostoma (lesser devil ray) is the source of this 1229-nucleotide long non-coding RNA. RefSeq lists it as uncharacterized. The record is from RefSeq and is a predicted model, not a curated record. Lineage: Eukaryota; Metazoa; Chordata; Chondrichthyes; Myliobatiformes; Myliobatidae. The transcript has 7 exons.
AGCAUUCAUCAGCUCAAACAGUAUCUGUAGAAAGAGAAAUUGAGCUUCAGGUCAUCAGCUCAUUUCAACUCUGAAUCACCCUGUGUGGAACUGAGGUCUAGAGUGUCAAACCGAGGGGUGACGUACCUUCAUCCUUUAAGGGUCAUAGAGCACAAAUGCAGGUCCCGAGCUUUCCGGAUUCUACAACUCACCUCCAAGGUUCGACCGGUGGUGUUAGUCUUGGGAAGACAGGCUCUGGUCCCGCCAAACGUGUGAAAUCUGAGUGCCUUGCAUUACAUUCCAAGCAAAUGUGGAGACAAGAGUGUACUGCUUGCUGCAUGAACAACAACAGGCCUAGUGAAGGAAGAGCAGAGGUUUGAGGGAAUGGACAUACAUGGACCCAGUGUGGAGAGGAAUGCCUCUGGCAAAGCAGAGCGAUGCAGGUCUGAAGUGGAGAGCGGGAAUCUGGGACAGUAAGAACAACAACACAAGGAAUUUGCAGUGAAAGGUUUCAGGUAAAGCAGGAUUCUAUGAGUUGGUUGACCUGGCCCUUUUAGAAAAAGUGGACUCCAGAACAAACUGGCACCUAGUAUUGAAUUUGCAAUAAAUUCAAUACAAUACAAAGAAACAGCAAUGUAGUGAAACAAACAAUCAGCUGGAGGAAUUCAGCAUUUGUGGUGAGGGUGAGAAAUGCAGAGGAACUACUGACAUUUUGGGUCACAACACUAAUUCCAAGGAGAUGUCUGGGUUUCCAUUGCAAUAAAUCCCAGUUUUCUUUCUGACUGCAAUGCUGGAUCAGCAUUCUUUGAAAAGCAAUGGGUCAUAGGGGUUGAUGCUUCACAAUGCUGUGUAUCCAAAAGCUGUUGUAUCUGCAUGUAGCAAACAAACAUUAAAAUGCAAAUAACCUAUUAGGUCUUCCUAAAAUCUCAAAUAAAUAUAAUUUUUAAAAAGCCUGCAAUUGUUGCACAAUAAAUAAAAGAAAAUAAAUACUGGAAAUGGCAGGUCAAGCAUUGACUGUCUAGAGACACUGAUUGGUGUUUGCCUGAAUUGAGAAAGAGAAAAACAAGUUACUUUUCAAUUCCAGAGGAGGGUCGUUGUAACAUGGCUAAAACAAAGGGAAUAUGCUGAUAGGGCAGGGCCAGGGUUGCCAUGGGGUUAAGCUGUUACUGAAUUUAUUUGGUUGAUAAUUUAAUAAGGGUAAAAAGAAAGGGAUAACAUCAUCAAUGGGAUGUAACAGUUGUAAAGUGCAG